This is a long non-coding RNA of Oncorhynchus tshawytscha (Chinook salmon), 127 nucleotides long. RefSeq lists it as uncharacterized. The transcript has 3 exons. The record is from RefSeq and is a predicted model, not a curated record. Lineage: Eukaryota; Metazoa; Chordata; Actinopteri; Salmoniformes; Salmonidae.
GGCAGACUGGCUGUCCUACUGGCUGUCCUACUGACCAUAACUACCGCAAGGCCUACGAUUACAUCAGGUCAGACUGGCUGUCCUACUGACCAUAACUACCGCAAGGCCUACGAUUACAUCAGGUCAG